This 84-nucleotide transfer RNA is filed under the name Phaeodactylum tricornutum. RNAcentral's name for it is "tRNA-Leu". It matches the Rfam family "tRNA". Rfam says of the family: Transfer RNA (tRNA) molecules are approximately 80 nucleotides in length. Their secondary structure includes four short double-helical elements and three loops (D, anti-codon, and T loops). Further hydrogen bonds mediate the characteristic L-shaped molecular structure. tRNAs have two regions of fundamental functional importance: the anti-codon, which is responsible for specific mRNA codon recognition, and the 3' end, to which the tRNAs corresponding amino acid is attached (by aminoacyl-tRNA synthetases). tRNAs cope with the degeneracy of the genetic code in two manners: having more than one tRNA (with a specific anti-codon) for a particular amino acid; and 'wobble' base-pairing, i.e. permitting non-standard base-pairing at the 3rd anti-codon position. Lineage: Eukaryota; Bacillariophyta; Bacillariophyceae; Surirellales; Neidiaceae. The record is from RNAcentral.
GCCAGAAUGAUGGAGUUUGGUAGACAUGCUAGGUUUAGGUUCUAGUUCCUUCUUGGAGUAAGGGUUCAAGUCCCUUUUUUGGUA